CACUUCCGAUAUUAAUCUUGCAUGGAGAGAACGACAUCGUUACGGAUCCAUCUGUUAGUCGAGCAUUGUACGAUAAAGCAAGCAGCUCGGACAAGAAUAUGAUCAUAUACAAGGAUGCUGGCCAUUCUCUUCUUGAAGGUUUUUGGAUAUCACGGUGU
Hibiscus syriacus is the source of this 158-nucleotide long non-coding RNA. RefSeq lists it as uncharacterized. The transcript has 3 exons. Lineage: Eukaryota; Viridiplantae; Streptophyta; Magnoliopsida; Malvales; Malvaceae. The record is from RefSeq and is a predicted model, not a curated record.